Molecule: ribosomal RNA, 370 nt
Filed under: uncultured bacterium
Lineage: Bacteria
Description: bacterial SSU rRNA
Rfam family: Bacterial small subunit ribosomal RNA
Source: RNAcentral
AAGAAUAACGUCGAGAAAUCCGGCGCUUAAUACCUCAUAAUGCAGCGGACCGCAUGGGUAUGUUGUUAAAGGUCUACCGCCUUGGGAUAGGCUUGCGUCUGAUUAGCUAGUUGGUGUGGUAACGGCACACCAAGGCUACGAUCAGUAACUGGUCUGAGAGGAUGAUCAGUCACACUGGAACUGAGACACGGUCCAGACUCCUACGGGAGGCAGCAGUGAGGAAUAUUGGGCAAUGCACGAAAGUGUGACCCAGCAACGCCGCGUGGAGGAUGAAGGUAUUCUAUAUCGUAAACUCCUGUGAGAGCAGACGAAAGACAGAUUAUUAAUUUGGAUGACUGUAUGCUCAGAGGAAGCCCCGGCUAACUACGUG